This 485-nucleotide ribosomal RNA is filed under the name uncultured bacterium. RNAcentral describes it as "bacterial SSU rRNA". It matches the Rfam family "Bacterial small subunit ribosomal RNA", at positions 28 to 534 of the family's 1533-position model. The record is from RNAcentral.
GAUGAACGCUAGCGGGAGGCCUAAUACAUGCAAGUCGAACGGUAAGGUCCUUCGGAUACACGAGUGGCGGACGGGUGCGUAACGCGUACGGAAUAUACCUUCAACAGGGAGAUACCUCCGGGAAACUGGAAUUAAUACCCCAUAGUAUUAUAGAUUCGCAUGAAUUUAUGAUUAAAGCUCAGGCGGUUGAAGAUUAUCGUGCGUCUGAUUAGGUAGUUGGUAGGGUAAUGGCCUACCAAGCCGACGAUCAGUAGCUGGUCUGAGAGGAUGAUCAGCCACACUGGAACUGAGACACGGUCCAGACUCCUACGGGAGGCAGCAGUAGGGAAUAUUGGACAAUGGGCGAAAGCCUGAUCCAGCAAUGCCGCGUGUGUGAAGAAGGCCUGCGGGUUGUAAAGCACUUUCAGUAGGGAAGAUUAUGACGGUACCUACAGAAGAAGCACGGCUAACUCCGUAGCCAGCAGCCGGCGGUAAAGUGACUACUG